Molecule: ribosomal RNA, 465 nt
Filed under: uncultured bacterium
Lineage: Bacteria
Description: partial 16S ribosomal RNA
Rfam family: Bacterial small subunit ribosomal RNA
Source: RNAcentral
GACGAACGCUGGCGGCGUGCUUAACACAUGCAAGUCGUACGGUAAGGCCCUUUCGGGGGUCCACGAGUGGCGAACGGGUGAGUAACACGUGCGUAACCUGCCCACAACUUUGGGAUAACGCUAGGAAACUGGUGCUAAUACUGGAUAUGUGCUCCUGCUGCAUGGAGGGGGUUGGAAAGCUCCGGCGGUUGUGGAUGGACUCGCGGCCUAUCAGCUUGUUGGUGGGGUAGUGGCCUACCAAGGCGGCGACGGGUAGCCGGCCUGAGAGGGUGACCGGCCACAUUGGGACUGAGAUACGGCCCAGACGCCUACGGGAGGCAGCAGUGGGGAAUAUUGCACAAUGGGCGCAAGCCUGAUGCAGCAACGCCGCGUGCGGGAUGACGGCCUUCGGGUUGUAAACCGCUUUCAGCAGGGACGAAGCUUUUUGUGACGGUACCUGCAGAAGAAGCACCGGCUAACUACGUG